This 468-nucleotide ribosomal RNA is filed under the name uncultured bacterium. RNAcentral's name for it is "partial 16S ribosomal RNA". It matches the Rfam family "Bacterial small subunit ribosomal RNA", at positions 28 to 507 of the family's 1533-position model. The record is from RNAcentral.
GACGAACGCUGGCGGCGUGCUUAACACAUGCCAGUCGAACGGAAAGGCCCUGCUUUUGUGGGGUGCUCGAGUGGCGAACGGGUGAGUAACACGUGAGUAACCUGCCCUUGACUUUGGGAUAACUUCAGGAAACUGGGGCUAAUACCGGAUAGGAGCUCCUGCUGCAUGGUGGGGGUUGGAAAGUUUCGGCGGUUGGGGAUGGACUCGCGGCUUAUCAGCUUGUUGGUGGGGUAGUGGCUUACCAAGGCUUUGACGGGUAGCCGGCCUGAGAGGGUGACCGGCCACAUUGGGACUGAGAUACGGCCCAGACUCCUACGGGAGGCAGCAGUGGGGAAUAUUGCACAAUGGCCGGAAGCCUGAUGCAGCAACGCCGCGUGCGGGAUGACGGCCUUCGGGUUGUAAACCGCUUUCGCCUGUGACGAAGCGUGAGUGACGGUAAUGGGUAAAGAAGCACCGGCUAACUACGUG